Molecule: long non-coding RNA, 844 nt
Organism: Exaiptasia diaphana
Lineage: Eukaryota; Metazoa; Cnidaria; Anthozoa; Actiniaria; Aiptasiidae
Exons: 3
Source: RefSeq, a predicted model, not a curated record
GUGGCUGAGUUGUUGGUUGAGGUGAGGUGGUUUGUGGCCGAGUUGUUGGUUGAGGUUUAGUUGUAUUUGACUGAGUUAUUUGAGCUUCAGUGGUAACUGGAUGAGUUGUUGGCUUUGCUGUUGGCAAAAGAUGUACAAUAAAUAAACACAGGCUCACAGCGUAAAAUAUUCGCUAGCAAAAGUCGGAAACAUUCAAUUUUGGAGGAAAAGACUUCUUGAAGAAACGCCAAUAGUGCUACAAUGGGGAUGGCUGAUAUCGUCAUUUUUUUCUUUAUCGAAUUUUAUAUAAACUUUAAAGAUAUAUUUUCUUUUCCAGCAAUCUAUUUUCUGAUUCGGAGUUUACUUUGCUUUUCCUCAGUUUCGCAAUUGGUAAAAAGUAAUCAGAUGACGCGAUGUACACUGCGCAUUACUUUACAAAUCAUAAUAGUUCACUAGUAGAGUGCAAACACUUAAACCAUGGAAAAMUUCAGUAAUGAGAUGCAUAAAAAGGUAGUUUGAUCUACCAAUAAUAACUCKUGAAAAUUUCUUAAUGAAUUAGGUUUUGUCAGUAUCGCCUUAUGCAGAAAGUGAUGUCACUCAACUUACAUGGAGCUUGCGUCCUCUUGCACCUGUACAUUUUGCAGAUCUUCUCGCCAGGGAUCUAUAUCAGGAAGAAAAGGUAAUUUUAAGAAACAGAUGCAAACGGAGGACCUCUCUGUUGCCAUGACAGACAAGACCAUGUGACAAAGAAUAGUCUCAAGUUGCUACAGCCAGCCGAUGAAGGUUUAUUGUGUACAUUCAUUGGAAUUGCUGCUGGUGAAAAUGUACUCAUAAUGUUUGAAUAAUCUAAAGAGGACACGAAGAA